GCUGCUGUCAUUUUGCAGUGUGGAUCUAAUGCAACUAUGCUGCAAAUACAAAAUAAUAAAGAUUUUGUCUAGAGGGCAAAAUGCCUUCCUUGCUGUAUUUAAUAAAUACACAUUCAGCCACAGAAUGUGUGUCUGUGCGUAUACACAAACAGGAUGGUAGCAGUCUGUGCUUUACAUUUGUGGAAUUUCACUUAAGCUACCCCUUUUGUUCACCUUUUCAUUAGGGACAAAUAACAAAUGGACACAUUUGGCUUCAGUAAGGAGAUAAGUAUUUCCUGCUGCCGUUAGAAAAAGGGUGAGAGACAAAAAUCAAGUGUUACAACAUGGAGCUGCACAGGAGAUGACUUACUGGCAUUUUUACCUGCUUAAAAUAGACACAUCCAUGUGAGAAAUAUUAAUUAUAGCAAAAGAUUGAACAGUUUUUUCUUACUUUACCAGUAAAGAACAGAGAUCUUGGUAGAUAAUUUAGAGUUGCAAUUAAAGGACCCCUAUUUUUUUUUUACAUUAAACCCAACAAACGUUAGGCUGCAUUUCUGCCCUGGUGCUAUUCAACUCAUUCAUAACAUUUUGGUAGCUGGAGAGAAGGAAGCAGCUCUGAGAGCUCAGAACAUUUGCACUGCCACAUCUCAGGGAAACCACAGGCUCAUCUCUCACCACCCCUUCACAUCGUGUCACAGCCAGGAGGUUAGCCAAUGCCUUCCAAUAAGCCAAUCUUUUUUCCAUCUACAAGCCAUUUUUGAGUUACAUCCUUAUUGCUUCGUGCUGAUGAGCACAAUAAGGAAAGCAUCAUGCUCUUCUGAUGAGAAGCCUGUUUCAAAGGCAGUCCUGGACAUAUCAGCACACUCCCUCCUGCCUCAGGGACUGUUUGCACAUGCAUUAUCUCUCAGCUCCUCCAUUCACCAGCUUAGUGCUCAUGUCAACCCUGCUGAUAUUGUGCAGGGCAUAAUGCACUGUGCGGGCUUGUUCUGCCAAUUUGGCUGCAAUUUUCUUUGGCUCUUCAUGUCACAUUUGAAUUUAUUUGUAUUUAUUUUAAGCUUCAUUCAAUCAAUUAAAGUCCCCUAGAAAACAAGCACUUGUGGAAUUCCUAAGACUAGAAACCGUGAUAAACUCAUGUGGGACUUUUCACUUUAAUAUACAAUUGAUGAUAUAACAACAGACAGAUCACUUCUACUCACGGUGUUUAUGAAAUACUUAACACCACUCAUGAGUUGAUUCACAUUCAGGGAGCCUGGUUUGGGAUUCAGGCUUGUUGAACUCUUGUCCUCGCCCUAAGCCAGGAAUGGGUCCAUAUGCCCACGCCACCGUUCCCCUUCCCUCUUGGUUUUGAGCCAUUUUUAAAGAGAUACCAACAGAGGAGUCCAUUAUGAAGUAUAAUUUUGAGCAAAUUAUGUGUGGAAGGUAACUCACUUUCCUCUCAUAUCUUUCUCCACAUAAUCAACUCCAUUUCUUUAUCCCAGAGUUCUUUCUCUCGAGCCUAUACUUGCUUUGUUUUCUCAUCUUUUUCUUACUCUAGUAAAAUUAUGUGUAUUUUGAAAACCAACAUGCUAUUUGCUUAAAGAGUUAAGUGGUGCAAUGAAACCUUUCCUGUGUUUGUUUUUCUUAGGAAAUGUUUGAUUCUAGCAUGCUGGAUAAGAGGUAUUUUAUAACAUUAUUAGAGAUCUCCUCCUGAAAUUUCACAUCCUCCCGCAAAAACAUUGGCUCAAUCCAAACAAACAUAUAUGGUUGUGUGGUGCCAGGAAGGAUUCAUAUUUGGAAGAGGAGAGGUGAGAGCAUUUUUCUCAUAUUGAUCCAGGAAGAGGCUCCAGCCUUCUCCACCACACGGCCUUCCCAGACAGGAGGAGACGCACUGCUACCAUGAAAGAUUCCUAUACUGCAGUCUGGGUUUAAUUCCCAUUAGAUGAUAGGAAGAAAUCUUCAUUACUUAGACUGAGAACACUUACUGAUUUUUUCUCAAAAAUUCAGGUCUGUCUGGGGAAGCUCCAUGCGCUGCUCAGAAGAUCCUAUCUUUGGGUGAAGCAGGAAUGCAAACCCUCAGCUGCUUCAGAGAGGAUUUUGUACAUCAUUUUUCCACAUGAUUAAAAAUAAUUUGGUAGUGUGUUAAGGCAGCAGAAUAUUUGAGAUGCUUUUUUUUUUUUUUUUUUUAAAUGCAAAGUCAUUGUCAGGCAUCUCCAUGAUAACCUUUCUGCCUCCUGCGUUUCCAGUUUGUGGGUUCCCCUCUCUGCCUGCUCACAUGUGGGUGAAAAUCGACAUGUUUCUCAACCUCUACAGAAUUUUUGUGCCCAGUAGCAACAAAAGGAGAUGUGACAGGAGCAUGGUACGAUCAUCCACAAGCAAUAAAUAGUUUAUGCCUUAAUUUAAUAUCCUUAACUGAAGAGCACACCCGCAAAGGCCAGUUUGUGGAGCUUGGGGUGGGAGGUUGACUGCUUUAGCUCAGUGUUGUUCAGCAUGGUGAACAGGGGUUUGCACAUCUCGCCACUCACAGCAAACAGAAUGCCACUGCCCAGGUUAGCAUUUGGGUUUGCUGGUGCCUGAAGAUAUUUUUCUGAGGUCAGUUCAUAAUUCUGACCUCGAACAAUGGGAAAUCCUAUUGAGGUGGCACCGAGGGUGACAUUGGGAGGAUGACAGUGCACAGCUUCCUGUCCUUGAAAAAUUCCAGUUUAUUUUCAGGCAUCAGGCUGCAAAUUAUAGUUCAGACAAUCAAAGAGCAACUCCCAGGUCUUAAUGUGCCGAGUAUAUCCGGCACGUGCCCAGCCUGCAGCACAUUCUGGUCAAAUAACAUGGAAUCAGCUUUCUCACUCCCAUAGGGAUUUGCUGGUUAAGUACGUUGCCUUCCACAACCAUGUAUUUUUUUUAAAUAUCCUCAUGUGAUCUCACAUCCCUUUACUCCUACCCUGCAGAAAAGCAAAGAAAAAAAAAAACAGAAUGUCAUCUUUACAGCACUUUUGAAGGAAAAAAAAAGCCAGAAACAAAUGUGGAAUGAGUAUGUCACACCAUCACUUACCUCUGAAGUCAGAAGUAACCUUGUCGUUGUGAGAAAUUUUACAGUACAUAGGUCUGACCAAUUUGUCUUUAGGGUCAAGCUAGUGUGUUAUAUGAACAAUGUGGCACCAGAGGUGACCAACAAGAAACACCAUUCCACACUGCCCCAGGCUGAGGUAAUGACAUAUAGGUGGAUGGAUGAAUGGACGGAUGGACAGAUGGAUGGAUGGAUGGAUGGAUAGAUGGGUGGAUGGAUGGAUGGAUGGAUAGACAGGUGGAUGGAUGGAUGGAUGGAUGGAUGGAUGGAUCAGUGGAUGACUGGAUGGAUGAGUGGAUGGAUGAAUGGGUGGGUGGAAGGAAGGAAGGUCACAUCUGGGAAACCCUUCCUCUUCUUCACAAAUCAGAAUCUAUAACUCUGAAGGUGUAAAGCCCAUGUAUUCUUUUUCAGGGCAUUUUUUUUCUUCAUUCUACCAAUCUGUACAUACAGUUACAAUUAGUUACAGGAACUUCACUCAUCUAUACCUGAUUCCACUACACCCUACAGCAGUGACUUCUGUCUAUUCAUUAUUUCUCACUCAAAAGCAAAUGCUACUUUGUUGUUGGGUUUGGAGGUAGGUAAGGAAGACAAGCUGAUCAUUGCGCUUAGGAAUUGGAAUACCUAAAUACCUGACCCAGGAUCUGUUACCUAGCAAAUCAUUUUUAUCUUUUUUGAUUUUUUGUCUUUAACACCUUCUUGUGAUAUUUUCAAUGAUUUCUUUUCAAGUGAUAUAUUAAAUCUAUUGCAUUUUGCACACAUUUCUUACAUUAUCAGUGUCUACUAACCAGUAGACUCUACAAGUACCUACUAAACCUAAAAGUUCAGAGAUACAUCUGGAAAUCUCUGCCUAGGUAAUGCAACUCUUAAGUCAAAAGGGAGUCUAAAGUGGGACAUGCUGAGUUUACAAGCAGUUCCUGUAACAUUUGUUUCAGCAUUUUCUGCAGCGUUUUUCUGUCUUGAUUCUCAUGUUCCCUGAGACCUCACUGCAACUGUUGAGAUCAGAUGGUAUGAGCACGCAAAUUCUGAAGAAAACAAAAUCCUGUUUUAUCCAACUAACUGCUUAAAUCUACCUUACAUUCGACAGUGCCAGAAGAAUGGAAGGUGGAAAAGAUGACUGUUAAAAGGACCUUGGGGCUCACCCAAGUCAGUGUUUGAGGUCUGUGCCAGGCAACUUACUGGAAGCUGUAAUGAGGAACAGAAUUAGUAGACUCAAUAACACAUUGGAGAAAAAUCGGCACUGCAUAUCAAGUAGAAGUUCAUAUUUUUGCAAAUCCAUUAGAUUUUCAAGGAGUAAUUUUAUUUGUACAGAAGGGUGAUAAAGUCAUAUUAUUUAUCUGUAUUUUCAAAAAGCUUUUGAUUUGACUUUUACCGUAGGCUUUCAAAGUGUGUUCUUAUGAAUAAGAGGAUAAAAAACUGUCUAAAAGAAAGGAAACUUGCCACUAGUUUACAUAAUACAAAGUCAUUUCCAGAGCCCACAAAAAUCUCUGCUUCUCAACAUAUUCAGAAACGUUAUGGAGAAGCAUAAUGCCACAACGGUGGCUUGCAGACACAGAAAGGGAGGUGGAGGGCAGCACUGGGGCAGCAACCUCACAGAUCUGUUGGGUUGCUCUGGUUAGGUUUGCUGCAUGCCAGCACAAGAAGCGGACGUGACUAAAGGGUGGGAACAAGAAAGAGUAGGACUGUUCCUUGGAGCAAUGCUGGGAACUAUGGCCCAAAUGGCCCAAAGCUCUGCUGCUUUGGAAAGGAGCUGCUUCAGGCGGGAUAUAACAGAGGCCUAUGCGUGCAAACAAAAAGGGUGUGAUCAUUCACUCCUAGAAGACAGGAAUUUAGGAUACCCUGUAGCAUUACCAGGCAUGGAACGCAGGGCUUGGGAAAGGCAGGAGUCAUAGAAUCAUUAGGGUUGGAAAAGACCACUAAAAUCAUCCAGUCCAACUACCAGCCUACCCCCACCGUGCCCACUGACCACAUCCCUCAGUGCCACAUCCACACGGUUCUUCAACACCUCCAGGAGUGGUGACUGCAUCCCCUUCCUGGGCAGCCUCUGCUACUGCCUCACCACUCCUUCUGAGAAGAAAUUCUUCCUAAUAUCCAACCUGAUAUAUAUGUAAUGUGUAUUGUUUACAUUAGUUACACUGUAUAUGCUGUAGAUUAUUGUGGAUAUACAAGUGUCUGUUAGAUACAGCAAAAUAAAUGACAUCCUAUGAUCUGUCACAUUCACCUGUCCGCUGAAAACGGCAGCAAUAAACCUUGGUGGACUGCAGGCGCAGUUGGGAGCUCUGACGCACAGCUCUGGGUAACAGCUAACGGGGUUUUGCAGAAUCACGGCGGUUGGAAGGGACCUCUGGAGACCACCCAGCCCAGCCCCUUGCAGUAGGUUUCCUACACUGGCCGUGUGACCAUGGAUGGAGAAGGGUUAGCAGAGCGGCGCGUGACAAAGCGCUAUGGAUCGUACCAACCUCUUUCCUUAGGAGCUGAUUGUAAAACGCCGGAAUAAACUGCAACGUUAGCGGCGGAUAAAACACGCUGGGACGCGGGGGAGAAGCCCUUCCACGCAGAGCUGCGGGGCCACACCGCCCUCCCCGCUCGGGGGCAGCCCCGCAGGCAGGUGGGCGGCGGGGGGGGCGGGCAGGGGGC
Molecule: long non-coding RNA, 5650 nt
Filed under: Gallus gallus (chicken)
Lineage: Eukaryota; Metazoa; Chordata; Aves; Galliformes; Phasianidae
Description: lncRNA (ENSGALG00010016363.1)
Source: RNAcentral